This is a long non-coding RNA of Epinephelus fuscoguttatus (brown-marbled grouper), 673 nucleotides long. RefSeq lists it as uncharacterized. The record is from RefSeq and is a predicted model, not a curated record. The transcript is spliced from 4 exons. Lineage: Eukaryota; Metazoa; Chordata; Actinopteri; Perciformes; Serranidae.
UUUUUAAUCCCUGAUCAUUAAUCAAAUCUUGACAUGUGGAAGUGGAAGAUUUCCUAAUGUUUACAGUUUCCCAACAUUGCUGUAUAUCAAUGAGGUGACAGCCGCUCCUGUAAGUAUAUAUAAGAAAGGCUCAACAUUCAUAGCACAACAACCUCCUCGACCAUCUGUGAGACAGUCAGCUCAAGACUCAAAGGUGUGAUCACUGUAACCAUGCUGAAGGUAGCACUUGUGCUUGGAUGCCUCCUGAGCCUCGCUCUGGCUCAUCCUAUGGUGCACAAAGCAGUUCCUCAGUCUAGCUCCAACUCCCAUGAGGCUGCCGGGCAACGGCCUGCGUCUGUGUGGGCCCCAGACCUGUCUUUCCAGGACUUUCUUAAUAUGCUCACCAAACUCACAGCUCCUCCUGCUCUUCCUAAAAAGUAAAAUCUGAAAUGUAAGCAGAGAUUGAUGAGUACAGAAAAAAAAACAGUAUUUAAUGAGACAGAUGUUUGACAUCAGCUUUGUUUUGUGUCAGUUUGUCAAGUCAACUGUUUUUUCUUCUUUUCAAAUUGUAAUGAUGUUAUCUUAACCAUGAUGUUGUUACACUCAUCAUUGUAGUUCACUCAAACAUGCGGAUCCAAAUCACUUCAUUCUCUGUACUAUCUGCACAAUAAACUUCACAAAUAGAAAACAUGGA